AACACGUGGGCAACCUGCCCAGAAGCGGGGGAUAACUUGGGGAAACUCGAGCUAAUACCGCAUACGUCUUCGAGGCCUUGGUCUCGAAGGGAAAGCUGGCCUAUACAAGUAAGCUGGCACUUCUGGAGGGGCCCGCGUUCGAUUAGCUUGAUGGUGGGGUAACGGCCUACCAUGGCGACGAUCGAUAGCCGGCCUGAGAGGGCGAUCGGCCACACUGGGACUGAGACACGGCCCAG
Molecule: ribosomal RNA, 236 nt
Filed under: uncultured bacterium
Lineage: Bacteria
Description: partial 16S ribosomal RNA
Rfam family: Bacterial small subunit ribosomal RNA
Source: RNAcentral